This 253-nucleotide ribosomal RNA is filed under the name uncultured bacterium. RNAcentral's name for it is "partial 16S ribosomal RNA". It matches the Rfam family "Bacterial small subunit ribosomal RNA", at positions 524 to 776 of the family's 1533-position model. RNAcentral also lists the same sequence under 2 other names. The record is from RNAcentral.
UACGUAGGGGGCGAGCGUUGUCCGGAAUCAUUGGGCGUAAAGAGCGUGUAGGCGGCUUGGCAAGUCUCGCGUGAAAUCCUGCGGCUCAACCGCAGGCCUGCGUGGGAUACUGCCUCGCUAGAGUCCGGAAGAGGAGAGUGGAAUUCCUGGUGUAGCGGUGGAAUGCGCAGAUAUCAGGAAGAACACCCGUGGCGAAGGCGGCUCUCUGGGACGGUACUGACGCUGAGACGCGAAAGCGUGGGGAGCGAACAGG